UUGCCUCAGUAACGGCGAGUGAAGCGGCAAUAGCUCAAAUUUGAAAUCUGGCUUCGGCCCGAGUUGUAAUUUGUAGAGGAUGCUUCGGCUUACGUACCGGUCUAAGUUCCUUGGAACAGGACGUCACAGAGGGUGAGAAUCCCGUUUGUGGCCGGCACUUCCGCCAUGUGAAGCUCCUUCGACGAGUCGAGUUGUUUGGGAAUGCAGCUCUAAAUGGGAGGUAAAUUUCUUCUAAAGCUAAAUACCGGCCAGAGACCGAUAGCGCACAAGUAGAGUGAUCGAAAGAUGAAAAGCACUUUGGAAAGAGAGUUAAAAAGUACGUGAAAUUGUUGAAAGGGAAGCGCUUGCGACCAGACUUGCCCGCGGAUGCUCAACCGGUCCUUCGGCCGGUGCACUCUUCCGCGGUCAGGCCAGCAUCAGUUCGGGCGGUCGGAUAAAGGCCUUGGGAAUGUGGCUCUCUUCGGGGAGUGUUAUAGCCCUUGGUGCAAUACGGCCCGCCUGGACUGAGGCCCGCGCUUCGGCUAGGAUGCUGGCGUAAUGGUCGUAAGCGGCCCGUCUUGAAACACGGACCAAGGAGUCUAACAUCUAUGCGAGUGUUUGGGUGUCAAACCCGUGCGCGAAAUGAAAGUGAACGGAGGUGGGAACCUUAGGGUGCACCAUCGACCGAUCCUGAUGUCUUCGGAUGGAUUUGAGUAAGAGCAUAGCUGUUGGGACCCGAAAGAUGGUGAACUAUGCCUGAAUAGGGUGAAGCCAGAGGAAACUCUGGUGGAGGCUCGCAGCGGUUCUGACGUGCAAAUCGAUCGUCAAAUUUGGGUAUAGGG
RNAcentral lists this ribosomal RNA (821 nucleotides) under Neohelicosporium parvisporum. Its description in RNAcentral is "LSU rRNA". It matches the Rfam family "Eukaryotic large subunit ribosomal RNA", at positions 75 to 922 of the family's 3401-position model. Lineage: Eukaryota; Fungi; Ascomycota; Dothideomycetes; Tubeufiales; Tubeufiaceae. The record is from RNAcentral.